GGGUCAGUAGGUUGGUCGUGCCACCGGUACGUACUGGUCUCACUUAUUCCUCCUUCCUGAAGAACCGUAAUGCCAUUAAUUUGGCGUUGCGGGGAAACAGGACUGUUACUUUGAAAAAAUUAGAGUGUUUAAAGCAAGCUAACGCUUGAAUACAUUAGCAUGGAAUAAUGAAAUAGGACGAUCGAUCCUAUUUUGUUGGUUUCUAGGAUUGACGUA
This 216-nucleotide ribosomal RNA is filed under the name Glomeromycotina sp. Its description in RNAcentral is "partial small subunit ribosomal RNA". The stretch from base 40 to 216 matches the Rfam family "Eukaryotic small subunit ribosomal RNA", at positions 686 to 864 of the family's 1831-position model. The record is from RNAcentral. Lineage: Eukaryota; Fungi; Glomeromycota.